GGGGACGUGAUGGAAUAGGUAGACAUGAGGGACUUAAAAUCCCUUGCUCUAUGCGUGUGGGUUCGAAGCCCACCGUCCCUACCA
This 84-nucleotide transfer RNA is filed under the name Candidatus Babelota bacterium. Its description in RNAcentral is "Candidatus Dependentiae bacterium tRNA-Leu". It matches the Rfam family "tRNA". Rfam says of the family: Transfer RNA (tRNA) molecules are approximately 80 nucleotides in length. The record is from RNAcentral.